UAAAACCAGCACCUCAAGUGGUCAGGAGGAUUAUUGGGCCUAAAGCAUCCGUAGCCGGCUCUGUAAGUUUUCGGUUAAAUCCAUGUGCUCAACGCAUGGGCUGCCGAAAAUACUGCAUAGCUAGGGAGUGGGAGAGGUAGACGGUACUCGGUAGGAAGGGGUAAAAUCCUUUGAUCUAUCGAUGACCACCUGUGGCGAAGGCGGUCUACCAGAACACGUUCGACGGUGAGGGAUGAAAGCUGGGGGAGCAAACCGGAUUAGAUACCCGGGUAGUCCCAGCUGUAAACGAUGCAGACUCGAUGAUGCAUUGGCAUAUAGCCAGUGCAGUGUCGCAGGGAAGCCGUUAAGUCUGCCGCCUGGGAAGUACGUACGCAAGUAUG
Molecule: ribosomal RNA, 380 nt
Filed under: uncultured crenarchaeote
Lineage: Archaea; Thermoproteati; Thermoproteota
Description: bacterial SSU rRNA
Rfam family: Archaeal small subunit ribosomal RNA
Source: RNAcentral